AUUGAACGCUGGCGGCAUGCUUUACACAUGCGAGUCGAACGGUAACAGGCCUUCGGGUGCUGACGAGUGGCGAACGGGUGAGUAAUGCAUCGGAGCGUACCCAGAGGUGGGGGAUAACGCAGCGAAAGCUGUGCUAAUACCGCAUGUGAUCUGAGGAUGAAAGCGGGGGACCGAGCAGCAAUGUUUGGCCUCGCGCCUUUGGAGCGGCCGAUGUCGGAUUAGCUAGUUGGUGGGGUAAAGGCCUACCAAGGCGACGAUCCGUAGCUGGUCUGAGAGGACGACCAGCCACACUGGGACUGGGACACGGCCCAGACUCCUACGGGAGGCAGCAGUGGGGAAUUUUGGACAAUGGGCGCAAGCCUGAUCCAGCAAUGCCGCGUGCGGGAAGAAGGCCUUCGGGUUGUAAACCGCUUUUGGCAGGAACGAAACGGUGUCCGCUAAUACCGGGCGCUAAUGACGGUACCUGCAGAAUAAGCACCGGCUAACUACGUG
RNAcentral lists this ribosomal RNA (492 nucleotides) under uncultured bacterium. RNAcentral's name for it is "partial 16S ribosomal RNA". It matches the Rfam family "Bacterial small subunit ribosomal RNA", at positions 29 to 507 of the family's 1533-position model. The record is from RNAcentral.